GAGGAAUAUUGGUCAAUGGGGGCAACCCUGAACCAGCCAAGUCGCGUGAAGGAUGAAGGUCUUAUGGAUUGUAAACUUCUUUUACACGGGUAUAAAGCGGGGGACGUGUCCCCCUUUGCAUGUACCGUGUGAAUAAGGAUCGGCUAACUCCGUGCCAGCAGCCGCGGUAAUACGGAGGAUCCGGGCGUUAUCCGGCUUUAUUGGGUUUAAAGGGUGCGCAGGCGGGAUGUUAAGUCGGCGGUGAAAUUUUGCAGCUCAACUGUAAAAGUGCCUUCGAUACUGGCCUCCUUGAGUGUGGAUGAAGUAGGCGGAAUUGGUGGUGUGGCGGUGAAAUGCUUAGAUAUCACGUGGAACUCCGAUUGCGCAGGCAGCUUACUAAGCCACAACUGACGCUCAUGCACGAAGGCGUGGGGAUCAAACA
RNAcentral lists this ribosomal RNA (421 nucleotides) under uncultured bacterium. RNAcentral's name for it is "bacterial SSU rRNA". It matches the Rfam family "Bacterial small subunit ribosomal RNA", at positions 356 to 774 of the family's 1533-position model. The record is from RNAcentral.